GGACUCGCGCGGAUUUCCAAUUUUAUGGCCGUAAACUCCCAAAAAAUGUAAGUUGGUCAUUGCGGGGUGGUGACUAUGGUUCCAUUGGCCGUAUUCAACGUCCACGGAAAAUUUUAGACGAUCCGGGUCCGGGGCCCGGAGCCACGAAAGAAGGCGUGGGUUAUAGCACACGAAAAUUUGGGACUCGCGCGGAUUUCCAAUUUUAU
Molecule: long non-coding RNA, 206 nt
Filed under: Nicotiana benthamiana
Lineage: Eukaryota; Viridiplantae; Streptophyta; Magnoliopsida; Solanales; Solanaceae
Description: long non-coding RNA (NBEN_LNC000416)
Source: RNAcentral